Molecule: ribosomal RNA, 395 nt
Filed under: uncultured bacterium
Lineage: Bacteria
Description: partial 16S ribosomal RNA
Rfam family: Bacterial small subunit ribosomal RNA
Source: RNAcentral
AUACGUAGGGUGCAAGCGUUAAUCGGAAUUACUGGGCGUAAAGCGUGCGCAGGCGGUUUUGUAAGACAGAGGUGAAAUCCCCGGGCUCCACCUGGGAACUGCCUUUGUGACCGCAAGGCUAGAGUACCGCAGAGGGGGAUGGAAUUCCGCGUGUAGCAGGGAAAGGCGUAGAUAUGCGGAGGAACACCGAUGGCGAAGGCAAUCCCCUGGGCCUGUACUGACGCUCAUGCACGAAAGCGUGGGGAGCAAACAGGAUUAGAUACCCUGGUAGUCCACGCCCUAAACGAUGUCAACUGGUUGUUGGGUCUUCAUUGACUCAGUAACGAAGCUAACGCGUGAAGUUGACCGCCUGGGGAGUACGGCCGCAAGGUUGAAACUCAAAUGAAUUGACGGGG